Molecule: ribosomal RNA, 253 nt
Filed under: uncultured bacterium
Lineage: Bacteria
Description: partial 16S ribosomal RNA
Rfam family: Bacterial small subunit ribosomal RNA
Source: RNAcentral
UACGAAGGGGGCUAGCGUUGCUCGGAAUCACUGGGCGUAAAGCGCACGUAGGCGGAUUGCUAAGUCAGGGGUGAAAUCCUGGAGCUCAACUCCAGAACUGCCUUUGAUACUGGCGACCUUGAGUCCGGGAGAGGUGAGUGGAACUGCGAGUGUAGAGGUGAAAUUCGUAGAUAUUCGGAAGAACACCAGUGGCGAAGGCGGCUCACUGGUCCGGUACUGACGCUGAGGUGCGAAAGCGUGGGGAGCAAACAGG